GAUGAACGCUAGCUACAGGCUUAACACAUGCAAGUCGCGGGGCAGCAUGUAUCUGGCUUGCCAGAUACGAUGGCGACCGGCGCACGGGUGAGUAACGCGUAUCCAACCUGCCCAUAACCACGGCACAGCCCGUCGAAAGGCGGAUUAAUGCCGUAUGAGGUUCCGGCGUAGCAUUAUGGUGGAACGAAAGGAUUGGCGGUUAUGGAUGGGGGAUGCGUCCGAUUAGCUUGUUGGCGGGGUAACGGCCCACCAAGGCGACGAUCGGUAGGGGUUCUGAGAGGCUGAACGGCCACAUUGGGACUGAGAUACGGCCCAGACUCCUACGGGAGGCAGCAGUGGGGAAUAUUGGGCAAGUGGGGGAAACCCUGACCCAGCAACGCCGCGUGAAGGAAGAAGGCC
Molecule: ribosomal RNA, 399 nt
Filed under: uncultured bacterium
Lineage: Bacteria
Description: bacterial SSU rRNA
Rfam family: Bacterial small subunit ribosomal RNA
Source: RNAcentral